Molecule: ribosomal RNA, 253 nt
Filed under: uncultured bacterium
Lineage: Bacteria
Description: partial 16S ribosomal RNA
Rfam family: Bacterial small subunit ribosomal RNA
Source: RNAcentral
UACAGAGGGUGCAAGCGUUGUUCGGAAUUACUGGGCGUAAAGCGCGUGUAGGCGGCGGCGUAAGUCGAAUGUGAAAUCCCUUGGCUUAACCAAGGAAGUGCAUCCGAUACUGCGUCGCUUGAGUGCCGGAGGGGAUGGCGGAAUUCCCCAAGUAGAGGUGAAAUUCGUAGAUAUGGGGAGGAACACCGGUGGCGAAGGCGGCCACCUGGACGGUAACUGACGCUGAGACGCGAAAGCGUGGGGAGCAAACAGG